This is a long non-coding RNA of Vidua chalybeata, 866 nucleotides long. RefSeq lists it as uncharacterized. The transcript is spliced from 3 exons. The record is from RefSeq and is a predicted model, not a curated record. NCBI's taxonomy places the organism in Eukaryota, Metazoa, Chordata, Aves, Passeriformes, Viduidae.
UCCUGGUCGCUGGGGGUUUGUGCUGUUACUGACUCCAGAGGUCAGUGAAUCACAGAGUAUCCUGAGGAUCGUCGAGUCCAGCUCCUGGCUCUGCAGCGGACAGCCCCGAGCCUCCGCCGUGUGCCUGGGAGCGUUGUGCCGCCGCCUCUCGCCCCCGGGUGCUCCGCUCCCCUCAUGGCCGGGCGGGCGCUGCUGGCGCGGCCUUCGCCUCUUCCCUUCCCUCCUCUCCCCGCCGGCCGUGUGGGGCUGGGGGCUGCAGCCGCCCUGAGGGGUUGUGCUUGUGCCUUCCGACUGUCUGAAGGAGCCAGCAUGACCUUGCCCUGGUACUGCUGACGUGGAAUGUUUCCCUCAGCGGCUGUGCUGCGGUGGGUUCCCCGCGUUCCUGCUUGGGGCAGGAGCGGCCAGUCCUCACCGCUGGCUCUGAGGGGACAGAGCUGGGGGGACGCUGCCGACGGUGUAGGAAGCAACAAGAAACAAUUGUAUAGAAGUGCUGGAAGUAGGCAUUGAAAGGAUUGAGGAAUUGCCUUGAGAAAAUGAGGGAAUUUGGUAAGAAGUGUUUAAAAAUAAAAGGACACUUGGAAGUGUAGGCCUGAACAUGGAAGUAUCUGACAAAAUGGUGUGGAGAAACAUGAGAUAUACUGCUACACAUUCAUUGGAUGAGGAGCAAUAGAUGAGUGACCCUGUGUGAUGGGACUGGUAGUGGUGUGCAGCUGAACAUGAACGUCUGGAGGUUGUGGCUGUGCUGUGCCACUUGAACCCUAAUCUGUGACCUGUUUGCAACCCACCAAAUGACUGAAAAUACAAUUGUAUUAAAGCUGAUUGCUUAAAAAACCUUUUGAAGUUACCAGUUGCUUUUAUAAGCCUCA